RNAcentral lists this ribosomal RNA (460 nucleotides) under uncultured bacterium. Its description in RNAcentral is "partial 16S ribosomal RNA". It matches the Rfam family "Bacterial small subunit ribosomal RNA", at positions 338 to 795 of the family's 1533-position model. The record is from RNAcentral.
CCUACGGGAGGCAGCAGUGAGGAAUAUUGGUCAAUGGACGAGAGUCUGAACCAGCCAAGUAGCGUGCAGGAUGACUGCCCUACGGGUUGUAAACUUCUUUUAUAUGGGAAUAAAAUGUUCCACGUGUGGGAUUUUGUAUGUACCAUAUGAAUAAGGAUCGGCUAAAUCCGUGCCAGCAGCCGCGGUAAUACGGAGGAUCCGAGCGUUAUCCGGAUUUAUUGGGGUUAAAGGGAGCGUAGGUGGGUUGUUAAGUCAGUUGUGAAAGUUUGCGGCUCAACCGGAGAAGUGCAGUUGAAACUGGAAGUCUUGAGUACAGAAGAGGAGGGCGGAAUUCGUGGUGUAGCGGUGAAAUGCUUAGAUAUCACGAAGAACUCCGAUUGCGAAGGCAGCUCACCGGGGUGCAACUGACACUGAGGCUCGAAAGUGUGGGUAUCAAACAGGAUUAGAUACCCGUGUAGUC